This 460-nucleotide ribosomal RNA is filed under the name uncultured bacterium. RNAcentral describes it as "partial 16S ribosomal RNA". It matches the Rfam family "Bacterial small subunit ribosomal RNA", at positions 338 to 795 of the family's 1533-position model. The record is from RNAcentral.
CCUACGGGAGGCAGCAGUGAGGAAUAUUGGACAAUGGACGAGAGUCUGAACCAGCAACGUAGCGUGAAGGAUGACUGACCUCUGGGUUGUAAACUUCUUUUAUAUGGGAAUAAAAUGUUCCACGUGUGGGAUUUUGUAUGUACAAUAUGAAUAAGGAUCGGCUAACUCUGUGCCAGCAGCCGCGGUAAUACGGAGGAUCCGAGCGUUAUCCGGAUUUAUUGGGUUUAAAGGGAGCGUAGGUGGAUUUUUAAGUCAGUUGUGAAAGUUUGCGGCUCAACCGUAAAAUUGCAGUUGAAACUGGCAGUCUUGAGUACAGUAGAGGUGGGCGGAAUUCGUGGUGUAGCGGUGAAAUGCUUAGAUAUCACGAAGAACUCCGAUGGCGAAGGCAGCUCACUGGACUGCAACUGACACUGAGGCUCGAAAGUGUGGGUAGCAAACAGGAUUAGAUACCCUUGUAGUC